UUCCCUUAGUACUGCGAGUGAAGAGGGAAGAGCUCAAAUUUAAAAUCUGGCAGUGUUUUGCUGUCCGAGUUGUAAUCUAGAGAAGUGCUGCCCGUGCUGGACCAUGUCACAAGUCUCCUGGAAUGGAGCGUCACAGAGGGUGAGAAUCCCGUCUUUGACAUGGACUACCAGUGCAUUUGUGGUGUGCUCUCAAAGAGUCGAGUUGUUUGGGAAUGCAGCUCUAAAUGGGUGGUAAACUCCAUCUAAAGCUAAAUUUUGGCGAGAGACCGAUAGCGAACAAGUACCGUGAGGGAAGGAUGAAAAGAACUUUGGAAAGAGAGUUAAACAGUAUGUGAAAUUGUUGAAAGGGAAACGCUUAAAGUCAGUCGUGUCGGCCAGGGAUCAACUCAGCUUUCUCUGCUGGGUGUACUUCCUGAUCUGAUGGGCCAACAUCAGUUUCGAUUGCUGGAGAAGGACAGAGGGAAUGUGGCACCUUUGGGUGUGUUAUAGCUCUCUGUCAGAUGCAGUGGUUGGGACUGAGGAUUGCAGCAUGCCGCAAGGCCGGGUCGUUUCGACCACGUUCAUGCUGAUGGAUGUUGGCAUAAUGGCUUUAAUCGACCCGUCUUGAAACACGGACCAAGGAGUCUAACAUGCCUGCGAGUGUUUGGGUGGCAAACCCGAGUGCGGAAUGAAAGUGAAAGGUUGAGAUCCCUGUCAUGGGGAGCAUCGAUGCCCGGACCUGAGCUUUUAGCAAAGGAUCUGCGGUAGAGCAUGUAUGUUAGGACCCGAAAGAUGGUGAACUAUGCCUGAAUAGGGUGAAGCCAGAGGAAACUCUGGUGGAGGCUCGUAGCGAUUCUGACGUGCAAAUCGAUCGUCGA
This 857-nucleotide ribosomal RNA is filed under the name uncultured fungus. Its description in RNAcentral is "eukaryotic LSU rRNA". It matches the Rfam family "Eukaryotic large subunit ribosomal RNA", at positions 75 to 908 of the family's 3401-position model. Lineage: Eukaryota; Fungi. The record is from RNAcentral.